AUUGAACGCUAACGGCAUGCUUAACACAUGCAAGUCGAACGGCAGCACAGCAGUAGCAAUACUGUGGGUGGCGAGUGGCGGACGGGUGAGUAAUGUAUAGGAAUCUGCCUUGUAGUGGGGGAUAACCUGGGGAAACUCGGGCUAAUACCGCAUAAUCUUUACGAAGCAAAGCGGGGGAUCGUAAGACCUUGCGCUAUAAGAUGAGCCUAUAUUGGAUUAGCUAGUUGGUGGGGUAAAGGCCUACCAAGGCGACGAUCCAUAGCUGGUCUGGGAGGAUGAUCAGCCACACUGGGACUGAGACACGGCCCAGACUCCUACGGGAGGCAGCAGUGGGGAAUAUUGGACAAUGGGGGAAACCCUGAUCCAGCAAUGCCGUGUGUGUGAAGAAGGCCUUCGGGUUGUAAGGCACUUUUAGUGGGAAAGAAAAGCUCAAAGCUAAUAACUUUGAGCCUUGACGUUACCCACAGAAAAAGCACUGGCUAACUCUGUGCCAGCCGCCGCAGUAA
Molecule: ribosomal RNA, 506 nt
Filed under: uncultured bacterium
Lineage: Bacteria
Description: partial 16S ribosomal RNA
Rfam family: Bacterial small subunit ribosomal RNA
Source: RNAcentral